This 1283-nucleotide long non-coding RNA is filed under the name Strigops habroptila (Kakapo). RNAcentral describes it as "lncRNA (ENSSHBG00005017910.1)". The record is from RNAcentral. Lineage: Eukaryota; Metazoa; Chordata; Aves; Psittaciformes; Psittacidae.
UUUUUUUUUUUUUUUUUUUUCUCCUUACAAAGUUGGCAGCUCUUGGCUGCGUCACCUGCAGUUGUACAUUGUUUUGCAAAGACUAUGCAUGGCUCUACAUCCCAUAUGCUUCUUGUCUUAUGGUAUUUCUAGCAGUAUUUCCUUUGUGAGAGUUCUAAGUUUUUACUUUGUAUUCUUUCAUUUUUUAUUUUCUUCUGUAGCCAAAGUAAGUAUAGUUGUGUGGUUUGGUGGUUGUUGUUUUUUUUUUUUUUUUUUUUUGUUUUUGUUUUUUUGGGGUGGUGGUGGUGUUUUGUUUCUGUUUUUUUGGUUUUUGGUUUGGUGUUUUGUGGUUUUUUUGUUUGGUUGUUUUUUUUUUUUGGUGUGGUGUUUUUUUUUUUUUUUUUUUUUUUUUGAGCAUUAUCUUUUUGUCCUGGGUGAUUUUUUGCAGUUUACCAUAUCACAUAUCAAUCUCUUCCAAGUGUGAAGUCAUAUCUUUUGUUAGUUCCUUGCCCCUCGCCCUCUACCUUGCAGCUUUGGAUAUCUGAACUGAAUUCAUAUCUGAGCUGUUAUAAUGAAAUCUGCCAAGUGCCUUAAUUAUAAAUCUGACUUAUUAGUUUAAAAUUAAUAAAAGAUUCUUCAAGGAAUUAUUUCACUUUUUGCAGUUUCAUUUGCAAUCUUUCAAAAGUGUCUUGUUUAGGGGCUUCAGUAUUAUUGCAAUUUCACUUCAGAGCUUGUGCUUUCAGUCUGGCUCUGGAAACUGCUUAAAUUACCAGUAGGUACAGGUUCAGCAAAAAAGAAAAGUAGUUAGCAGUGAAAUUUGGUAUAUUUUUUCCCCCCCCCCCCCCCCCCCUUCAGGCAGAUUCCAGCUUUUCCCAUACAGAUGUCAGAUACUUACCUGAUCUUCUUCCUACCAUUCAUCAACAGAACACUAGUUUUGUGUUGUUAGUGGCUUUUAGUUCCCACGCUACUAUUUUUCCCUCUCAUUUUUAGGAGUUUGGCUUCCUUACUUCUCUGAUAAUCAUAAAGUAGUUCAGUACCUAACUAUAGAGUUCUGGACUUUAAACUUUGGAGCUUUGUGGUCCAAACAUCUGCUUAAAGCAGAGCUAAUAUUAGAUCAGGUUGUGCAGAGACUUAAACAUACAUUUUGAGUAUCACCAGUAAUGAAGGUCACAUAGUCUUGUGUGAGUUCCAGUUUGGUGUUAUCUAGCACCAUGAUGUAUGUAAGGAUUAAAAGAGCAAGUAUUAUUGAAGUUCAAACCUGUAUUUGAGAGUCUGUGAUAUAGGAAGAUCCUAAUUUUCCCAGC